GCAAGUCGAGGGGCAGCAUAACGAAAGCUUGCUUUGUGAUGGCGACCGGCGCACGGGUGAGUAACGCGUAUCCAACCUUCCCUAUACUAGAGAAUAGCCCGGCGAAAGUCGGAUUAAUGCUCUAUGUUCUUCUUUGAUGGCAUCUGACGAGAAGCAAAGGUUUACCGGUAUAGGAUGGGGGAUGCGUCUAAUUAGGUGUUGGCGGGUAACGGCCCACCAAGCCUACGAUCAGUAGGGGUUCUGAGAGGAAGGUCCCCCACAUUGGUACUGAGACACGGACCAAACUCCUACGGGAGGCAGCAGUGAGGAAUAUUGGUCAAGUGGGCGAGAGCCUGAACCAGCCAAGUAGCGUGCCAGGAUGACUGCCCUAUGGGUUGUAAACUGCUUUUAUGCGGGAAUAAAGUCAGGUACGUGUACCUGUUUGUAUGUACCGCAUGAAUAAGGACCGGCUAAUUCCGUGCCAGCCGCGGC
This 471-nucleotide ribosomal RNA is filed under the name uncultured bacterium. Its description in RNAcentral is "bacterial SSU rRNA". It matches the Rfam family "Bacterial small subunit ribosomal RNA", at positions 57 to 518 of the family's 1533-position model. The record is from RNAcentral.